Pelobates cultripes (western spadefoot toad) is the source of this 202-nucleotide non-coding RNA. The record is from the annotation of a GenBank genome assembly. Lineage: Eukaryota; Metazoa; Chordata; Amphibia; Anura; Pelobatidae.
GUACCUGUCAUUACAGGCACUCCCCCUGCUGGCUAUGCCGUCCAUGUGAUCGUGAGGUCCUGACCUCGCGAUCACAUGGCCCAGGGGGGCCGAAGAGGGACUCUCUGGGCUUCCAAGUGAGUCCCCAUACCUCGAUCGCCGGUGACUGGGUAAGUAGAAAGGACUGUUUGGGCGUUCUAUGCCGCCCUCCAGCGUUUAGAGC